RNAcentral lists this ribosomal RNA (460 nucleotides) under uncultured bacterium. Its description in RNAcentral is "partial 16S ribosomal RNA". It matches the Rfam family "Bacterial small subunit ribosomal RNA", at positions 338 to 795 of the family's 1533-position model. The record is from RNAcentral.
CCUACGGGUGGCAGCAGUGAGGAAUAUUGGUCAAUGGACGAGAGUCUGAACCAGCCAAGUAGCGUGAAUGAUGACUGCCCUAUGGGUUGUAAACUUCUUUUAUAUGGGAAUAAAAUGUUCCACGUGUGGGAUUUUGUAUGUACCAUAUGAAUAAGGAUCGGCUAACUCCGUGCCAGCAGCCGCGGUAAUACGGAGGAUCCGAGCGUUAUCCGGAUUUAUUGGGUUUAAAGGGAGCGUAGGUGGUUUGUUAAGUCAGUUGUGAAAUUUUGGGGCUCAACCGUAAAAUUGCAGUUGAAACUGGCAGUCUUGAGUCCAGUAGAGGUGGGCGGAAUUCGAGGUGUAGCGGUGAAAUGCGUAGAGAUCACGAAGAACACCGAUGGCGAAGGCAGCUCACUGGACUGCAACUGACGCUGAGGUUCGAAAGUGUGGGUAUCAAACAGGAUUAGAUACCCGAGUAGUC